GGGCCGCGGGGGUGUUGAUCCCCGGAAUAACCUCCAGGUAACCUAGAUCAAGAGCCCCUCACUAGCGCCAAGGAACCUCCCUUGAGGGGUUCUGGGAUCGAAAUAUACAGUUUUACUAAUAGAAGCCCCACAUAGCCCCAGAAAAAAUAAAGAGAAGGCUGCUGAAAUAUAUUGUGUGGGGCUAGAAAGGGGCCUGGCAUUGUUCUAGAUUCAGUUGAUGGUUUAACAUGUGCUGUUAAUGUUUAUGAGGCCAUUGCCAUCCCUCAUUCCAUCACGAGGGUAGAUACUGUAGGCUGAGAUGUUACUAGGCAAGUGUUUUGGAUGGCAAUGUUUUGUAAUUACAGGCAAGAAAGAUGGUUAAAAAAAAAGUGACACGCCCCUUCCCUGACAGUAUCUUCAUUUCAUAUUAAUCAUGUAUUUACAGUUAUCUCAA
Molecule: non-coding RNA, 433 nt
Organism: Cherax quadricarinatus
Lineage: Eukaryota; Metazoa; Arthropoda; Malacostraca; Decapoda; Parastacidae
Source: RefSeq, a predicted model, not a curated record